RNAcentral lists this ribosomal RNA (492 nucleotides) under uncultured bacterium. RNAcentral describes it as "partial 16S ribosomal RNA". It matches the Rfam family "Bacterial small subunit ribosomal RNA", at positions 29 to 507 of the family's 1533-position model. The record is from RNAcentral.
AGUGAACGCUGGCGGUAGGCCUAACACAUGCAAGUCGAACGGCAGCACAGUAAGAGCUUGCUCUUACGGGUGGCGAGUGGCGGACGGGUGAGGAAUACAUCGGAAUCUACUUUUUCGUGGGGGAUAACGUAGGGAAACUUACGCUAAUACCGCAUACGACCUACGGGUGAAAUCAGGGGAUCUUCGGACCUUGCGCGAUUGAAUGAGCCGAUGUCGGAUUAGUUAGUUGGCGGGGUAAAGGCCCACCAAGGCAACGAUCCGUAGCUGGUCUGAGAGGAUGAUCAGCCACACUGGAACUGAGAAACGGUCCAGACACCUACAGGAGGAAGCAGUGUGGAAUAUUGGACAAUGGGCGCAAGCCUGAUCCAGCCAUACCGCGUGGGUGAAGAAGGCCUUCGGGUUGUAAAGCCCUUUUGUUGGGAAAGAAAAGCAGCAGGUUAAUACCCAGCUGUUCUGACGGUACCCAAAGAAUAAGCACCGGCUAACUUCGUG